CCUACGGGCGGCAGCAGUGGGGAAUAUUGCACAAUGGGGGAAACCCUGAUGCAGCGACGCCGCGUGAGCGAUGAAGUAUUUCGGUAUGUAAAGCUUUAUCAGCAGUGAAGUAAAUGACGGUACCUGACUAAGAAGCACCGGCUAACUACGUGCCAGCAGCCGCGGGAAUACGUAGGGGGCAAGCGUUAUCCGGAUUUAAUGGGUGUAAAGGGAGCGUAGACGGUCCUGCAAGCCAGAUGUGAAAGCCCGGGGCGCAACCCCGGGACUGCAUUUGGAACUGUAAGGCUAGAGUGUCGGAGAGGCAGGCGGAAUGUCUAGUGUAGCGGUGAAAUGCGUAGAUAUUAGGAGGAACACCAGUGGCGAAGGCGGCCUGCUGGACGAUGACUGACGUUGAGGCUCGAAAGCGUGGGGAGCAAACAGGAUUAGAUACCCCAGUAGUC
This 440-nucleotide ribosomal RNA is filed under the name uncultured bacterium. RNAcentral's name for it is "partial 16S ribosomal RNA". It matches the Rfam family "Bacterial small subunit ribosomal RNA", at positions 338 to 795 of the family's 1533-position model. The record is from RNAcentral.